GGUGUGGCUUCGUGGUAGAGUAUCUGUUUGGCAUGCAGAGAUCCUCAGGUUCAAUCCCUGGGGUCUCCA
RNAcentral lists this transfer RNA (69 nucleotides) under Sphaerodactylus townsendi. RNAcentral describes it as "tRNA-Ala". The record is from RNAcentral. Lineage: Eukaryota; Metazoa; Chordata; Lepidosauria; Squamata; Sphaerodactylidae.